GGACUACAGGGGUAUCUAAUCCUGUUCGCUCCCCAUGCUUUCGCUCCUCAGCGUCAGUUAAUGCCCAGAGACCUGCCUUCGCCAUCGGUGUUCCUCCUGAUAUCUGCGCAUUUCACCGCUACACCAGGAAUUCCAGUCUCCCCUACAUCACUCUAGUCUGCCCGUACCCACUGCAGAACCGGAGUUGAGCCCCGGUCUUUCACAGCAGACGCGACAAACCGCCUACGAGCUCUUUACGCCCAAUAAUUCCGGAUAACGCUUGCGCCCUACGUAUUACCGCGGCUGCUGGCAC
Molecule: ribosomal RNA, 292 nt
Filed under: uncultured bacterium
Lineage: Bacteria
Description: partial 16S ribosomal RNA
Source: RNAcentral